This 452-nucleotide ribosomal RNA is filed under the name uncultured bacterium. RNAcentral describes it as "bacterial SSU rRNA". It matches the Rfam family "Bacterial small subunit ribosomal RNA", at positions 1077 to 1533 of the family's 1533-position model. The record is from RNAcentral.
UGGGUAGUCCGCACGAGCGCACCUUGUCCUUUUUUGCCAGCCUUAAGUUGGGCACUCUAAGGAGACUGCCGGUGACAAACCGGAGGAAGGUGGGGACGACGUCAAGUCAUCAUGGCCUUUACGUGUAGGGCUACACACGUGCUACAAUGGCAUUUACAGAGGGAAGCGAGACAGUGAUGUGGAGCGGACCCCUUAAAGAAUGUCGUAGUCCGGAUUGGAGUCUGCAACUCGACUCCAUGAAGGAGGAAUCGCUAGUAAUCGUGGAUCAGCACGCCACGGUGAAUACGUUCCCGGGUCUUGUACACACCGCCCGUCACGCCAUGGAAGUCAGCAGUACCCGAAGCCGGUGGCCUAACCUUCGGGAGGGAGCCGUCUAAGGUAAGGCUGGUAACUGGGGCGAAGUCGUAACAAGGUAGCCGUACCGGAAGGUGCGGCUGGAUCACCUCCUUUCU